RNAcentral lists this ribosomal RNA (465 nucleotides) under uncultured Klebsiella sp. RNAcentral's name for it is "bacterial SSU rRNA". It matches the Rfam family "Bacterial small subunit ribosomal RNA", at positions 338 to 795 of the family's 1533-position model. The record is from RNAcentral. Lineage: Bacteria; Pseudomonadati; Pseudomonadota; Gammaproteobacteria; Enterobacterales; Enterobacteriaceae.
CCUACGGGCGGCUGCAGUGGGGAAUAUUGCACAAUGGGCGCAAGCCUGAUGCAGCCAUGCCGCGUGUGUGAAGAAGGCCUUCGGGUUGUAAAGCACUUUCAGCGGGGAGGAAGGCGUUAAGGUUAAUAACCUUGUCGAUUGACGUUACCCGCAGAAGAAGUACCGGCUAACUCCGUGCCAGCAGCCGCGGUAAUACGGAGGGUGCAAGCGUUAAUCGGAAUUACUGGGCGUAAAGCGCACGCAGGCGGUCUGUCAAGUCGGAUGUGAAAUCCCCGGGCUCAACCUGGGAACUGCAUUCGAAACUGGCAGGCUAGAGUCUUGUAGAGGGGGGUAGAAUUCCAGGUGUAGCGGUGAAAUGCGUAGAGAUCUGGAGGAAUACCGGUGGCGAAGGCGGCCCCCUGGACAAAGACUGACGCUCAGGUGCGAAAGCGUGGGGAGCAAACAGGAGUAGAUACCCCUGUAGUC